UAGACAGCUGUGAUGAAGAGGUCGUUGGUCAUGUUGUCUUCUGUGCAACGCAUGCCCAUCAUGCAGAUUUCUCAUCACUCCAGGAGGUUUGUGCCUCUGUCUGUGUGUCCAGGUACCAUCUCUGCAGGGGCUGAGAAGUCCAAGACCAAGGUGCUGGCCUAUUUGGUUCCUGGUGAAGAUUCUCUUUUGGCUUGCAGGUGGCCCUGUCCCUUUGUUCCUUCACAUGGAGAAGAGGAGGGGGAGAGAGAGACUGAGCUGUCUUGUGUCUCUUCUUAUAAGGGCAUUAAUCCCAUCAUGAGUGCCCCACCUUCACGUCUGCAUCUAAACCUAAUUAUUAACACCUCACAAAUGCCCAUCUCCAAAUGCCACCACAUUCCACAUUGGGGGUUAGAAAUUUUAGGAAUAUAAAUUUGGGGAGGGCAGAACUCAAACCAUAACACCAACUCCAAGAGCAGGCCUUGCUAAGUAAAGGUUGGUUGUGCUUCAGAGCUCUAACAGCUCUGGGAGUUCAUUGUGAAAUAGGCCUAUUGUCACUUGUUGAAGGUUGUGCAACUCCUAGUGGCUGAACCAUCAGAUUCCAAACUUCAUUCUUUUCAUUAUAUCAAAUAAAUGGCCUUGAAAGAUCUGUAAUGAGGACAAGAGUGACCAGUCAAAAAAAUGGCAAAGAAACCAGUAACAAAAGGGAAUAUGACAAUUAAGUGCCUAAUAAAUUGGGUAGGGGAGAUAAUGAAAAAUCAGCAAAUACAGGAAAAUGAAUGAAUGGGAUUUAGGGCAUGCAUCUGUUACUUAAAAAAGAGACUGAAAAGUCUGAGGGAAUCUUUUGUGAAAAUUAAUGAAAAAGGCCCAGCAUUUUCUGGCCCGUGUGUUAUGUAUGUGCAAGUCUCAUGUUUACAGUUAUUCUCGAACACUCCUUGCUCUACCCUACCCUCCCAAGUCUUUUGACCUCAGGAAAAAUCAGUCUAAGGAGAUUGUUUUUGUCAUCUCCAGCUGUCUCAGUUGCCCAUCAAAUCCAGCCUUUGUUUCUGUUGCAGCCUCAUUGUCUCUGAGUGCAACUUUAACCCUGUCUUGAAUUGUCUAAGAGGCUGGGGGCUGACAGCUGAAUCCAAGUCUCAGAGACACAGACUUUGACCUUUACAGUCCACUGAUCUGCAAAAUACGUCAGUUAAUACACAUAGGAAGAGAUGGAAGAAAGAGCAGCACAAAAGUGGGCAAAGGAUUUCCAAAGGAGGAGUAAAGAGACGGAGAGCAGAGUGAGCUGAGCAAAGACAUCUAGAUUAAUGAUAAGGCGACCAAGGGAUAGCUAUAAAACAGGCUGGGAAGGGUUCUGGUAGCAGCGUUAGCAGCCAUUUCUUUUCCUUUUUCUUUUCUAUUUUUCCAGCUAAGACUGAAGGAAAGGCGUUAAAUACAAUCUGGGGUGCAGUGGCUCACACCUGUAAACCCAGCACUUUGGGAGGCCAAGGUGGGCGGGUCACCUGAGGUCAGGAGUUUGAUACCAGCCUGGCCAACGAAACGUUGUCUCUACUAAAAAUACAAAAAAAAUUAGCCAGGCAUGGUGGCAUGCACCUGUAAUCCCAGCUUCUCGGGAGGCUAAGGCAGGAGAAUCACUUGAACCCAAGAGGCAGAGAUUGCAGUGAGCUGAGAUCAUGCCACUGCACUCCAGCCUGGGUGACAGAGCAAGACUCCGUCUCAGCAAAAAGUAAAUAAAUAAAAUAAAAAAUAAAUACAAUCUGGAAUUGAGAUUAAAUAUAAGACAUAACUUUCAGGGCCUGGCGCAGUGGCUCGCGCCUGUAAUCCCAGCACUUUGGGAGGCCAAGACGGGCGGAUCACCUGAGGUUGGGAGUUCAAGUCCAGCUUGACCAACAUGGAGAAAACCUGUCUCUAAUAAAAAUACAAAAUUAGCUGGAUAUGGUGGCACAUGCUGGUAAUCCUAGCUACUCGGGAGGCGGAGGCAGGAGAAUUGCUUGAACCCAGGAGGCGGAGGUUGCGGUGAGCCGAAAUUGCGCCAUUGCCCUGUAGCCUGGGCAGCAAGAUAAAAACUCCAUCUCAAAAAAUAAAAAAAAUAAAAAAAUAACUUUCAGAGAGAACUAUUUAUUUAAUAAAGGAAAAGAUUAUUGACAAGGCUAUGUAAAUCACCCUUACUGCCUAAUACUGAGGCAUAAUUAUUAUCAAGCCCCAUCUAGAAGUUCGGCAGUCCCUUGGGCACGUCAAAUGCAUACAUUACUUCAUUUAAUCUUUUUAGGAACUCCCUAAAGUGAAUAGUAUUACCCCCAUUUUACAGAAAAGUAAACUGAGGCUCAAGGAUGGUAAGGGACUUGCCAGGGACCUAUGCAGUGGGUGGCACAGCUGAGUUUAGGACAAUUUACGUUUGGCUCUAAAGCCAAUGCUCUUGCCACUAGAUCAGCAGGAACCAUAGUCUUGAAUUGCUUCAGACUAAGCGCAGGGAACGAUGGAAUCAUCUCUGUGGGUUCCAAACCUGCCUUAUCUCAGCGACUGGGUGAAAGGUAACAGAAAGGAGGAGAGAGGAACUGAGAGUGACCUCAUGGCGUGAAAUCUCCUAGUACCGCCCCCAGCAUAAAGCCAAGAAAAACGUUCAUCAGUUUCCCUCAGAGUAAAUCCCUUUGCAUUUGAAUUAAUGAUGUAAGAAGUCCAAGAUCAGGGUGGCUGCCUAUUUAGUUCCUCAGGGAGGUCAACUUCACAGCUGCCAGAACUGUGAGAACUAAAUGUCUGUUGUAUGAGCCACCCAGUCUAUAGUAUUUUGUUAUGGCAGUCCCAGACGACUAGGACAGUGAAGUUCAGAGAAAAGAGGCCGGAGGCCUUGUCCCAGGCCAUGGGGAUACCACUGAGCUGAAGGAGGAAAGCUCCCAGCCAGGUUUGAAAUGCAAGAAAAAAUGAUGUCUGGCCAGCUGCGGUGGCUCACACUUGUAAUCCCUGCACUUUGGGAGGCCAAGGAGGGAGGCCAAGUGAAUUCACUUGAGGUCAGGAGUUUGAGACCAGCCUGGUCAACAUGAUGAAACCCUGUCUCUACUAAAAAUACAAAAGUUAGCCAGGUGUGGUGGCAGAUGCCUGUAAUCCCAGCUACUCCGGAGGCUAAGGCAGGAGAAUCACUUGAACCUGGAGGCGGACAUUGCAGUGAGCCGAGAUCACGCCACUGUACUCCAGCCUGGGUGACAGAGCGAGAUUCUGUUUCAGAGAGAGAAAGGAAAGAAGAAAGAAAGAAAGAAAGAGAGAGAGGGAGGGAGGGAGGGAGGGAGGGAGGGAGGGAAGGAAGGAAGGAAGGAAGGAAGGAAGGAAGGAAGGAAGGAAGGAAGGAAGGAAAAAAGAAGGAAGAUGUUAGCAAAAAUGUCAGAGAAAGGACCUCUGAAAAAUUUCUCCUUUAUGAAAAUAAUGAGAAAACUGGCAAAAAUGGGAAGAAUCAACUUUUUUAGGACUCUGGAAAUUAUUCAAAUGCUGGCAGGAAUUCAGGAAGUAUGUAUUCAAGAAAAAUGGCUGAAUCUCAGUAAUUAGAGAAAUUAGAAAAUAGUUUGAGAUGAGUGAAAAUAAAAACACAGCAUACUCAGACUUUUGGGAUGCAGCUAACCCACCGCUUAGAGGGAAAUUUAUAGCUGAAAUGCCAAUAUUAAUGAAGAAGAAAGAUCUAAAAUCAAUAAUCUAAACUUUCACCUUAAAACACUGGAAAAGGAAGGGAAAACUAAACCAAAAAGCAAGCAGAAGGAAGGAUAUAAUAAAGACUCUAAUGGAAAUAAGUGAAAUACAGAAAAGAAAAACAACAGAGAAAAUCAACCAAACAAAAUGUUAAUCUUUGGAAAGACCAACAAAAUUGACAAAAUAUUAGCUAAACUAACCAAGAAAAAAAAGAAGACUUGAUUACUAAAAUUAGGACUGAAAGAGAGCACAUGACUCCCGACCCUACAGAAAUAACAAAAAUUGUGA
RNAcentral lists this long non-coding RNA (3930 nucleotides) under Papio anubis (olive baboon). RNAcentral describes it as "lncRNA (ENSPANG00000038803.1)". The record is from RNAcentral. Lineage: Eukaryota; Metazoa; Chordata; Mammalia; Primates; Cercopithecidae.